This 468-nucleotide ribosomal RNA is filed under the name uncultured bacterium. Its description in RNAcentral is "partial 16S ribosomal RNA". It matches the Rfam family "Bacterial small subunit ribosomal RNA", at positions 28 to 507 of the family's 1533-position model. The record is from RNAcentral.
GACGAACGCUGGCGGCGUGCUUAACACAUGCAAGUCGAACGGAAAGGCCCUGCUUUUGUGGGGUGCUCGAGUGGCGAAAGGGUGAGUAACACGUGAGUAACCUGCCCUUGACUUUGGGAUAACUUCAGGAAACUGGGGCUAAUAUCGGAUAGGCGCUCCUGCUGCAUGGUGUGGGUUGGAAAGUUUCGGCGGUUGGGGAUGGACUCGCGGCUUAUCAGCUUGUUGGUGGGGUAGUGGCUUACCAAGGCGUUGACGGGUAGCCGGCCUGAGAGGGUGACCGGCCACAUUGGGACUGAGAUACGGCCCAGACUCCUACGGGAGGCAGCAGUGGGGAAUAUUGCACAAUGGGCGGAAGCCUGAUGCAGCAACGCCGCGUGCGGGAUGACGGCCUUCGGGUUGUAAACCGCUUUCGCCUGUGACGAAGCGUGAGUGACGGUAAUUGGUAAAGAAGCACCGGCUAACUACGUG